CGCGUGCAGCCCCGGAGCCUGCAGCGGAGCUAGUCCCUGCCAACUUCGGAGCGUCCUUUCCCAAGCCCACCCUUGGCUUCCCUGAGACGGGCCGUCACGUUCCUCCUCGGGCCGCUGGCCGGUCAGCAGGAGGGGUGUCGCGCUUGGGCAGCCUCCCUGGUUUUAAAAACAACCUUCUGCAUGUGUCGCCACCUGGAUCAACAAGCCACAGCUCCUGUUUGCCGGGAGUACAGUGCGCGGGAAUCUUCCCCGCGCCCAGAAAUCCCAGUGUCCUGCUAGCGUCUCGCUGUGCACCGGGCCAGCCAGCCGCCAGUGACCCGGGAAUAUCGUGGGCCGCCUUGGUCCGAGCACAGCACAGCUCCAGCCUGUUAGGAUGAGACAGAAAUCAGAGUUCCUGACCACUUAUGAUUAUUAGAGAUCCUCUUCUAGAACUUCAUCAAAAGAGAGGUGUGAAACCUUCUGUCCUGAUCCAGUUCCAAUUUGGAUAAUUAAAUUAUGACUACUUAAUUUUUUCCCUCCUCGGAAUACUGGCAUAGUGCAUGGCAAUACUGCAGUCUGGAUGUGAUGAAUAUGUAGAUCACCAUGACUAGGUUUGCAUCUACUCAGUGCAAGAUGGAGAAGGGCAUUUACUAUUGCUAUUUAGGUAUCCCAGAAGCAACCAAGAACACAGUAGUAUCCUGAGACUGUGUAACAGACAUGAGAGUAGACACCCUUUAAGGCCUAAAGGUCUGGGUGAUGGCAUUGUGUGCAGCUGACGUAAAGAAGUACAGAUGCGUAUUUCCAUGCGUAUUGCUGGAGAAGGCUACAGCAUCUCACGGUUUCCCCAAGGUGACUAACAUAUAUGUAAACGGGAGGUGAGAUCAGCUUGAGGCUUGUGGGACAACAUGGAUGAGCAGACAUGAGGAGGAGACACAGUUGCCCAUCACAACCCUCUGAGUUCUCAAAAAUGACUGAGCAAAGCCCAUUUUGUGUGAUUCCACAGUCAGUUUUGCGAGGUCGCUUAAGUCAGCACUUCAUGAUCAGCAAUGUCAGUGGCUCUUGCCAGAUCUAACAGCAUUAGCGUAGUUGUACAGUAUUAAAUACUUUCUGAUGGCUUGAGCCUAGUCACAAUACAAUAUAGCCGUCACAAAGGGGAUCUACAUUCAUUACUGAGCUUCCUGCACUGAGAGUGUUGUAACGGCAAUGCAAUUUUACUGUGUGUGUAUGUGGGUUCACCUCUUAAGCCACUCCAUCUUACACUCUGAGUAACAUUAAUGGGUUAUGGUGGGAGCAGCAUUUAGACCUCUUAUCACCCUAAUCAGCUGGAGAAUGGAUUUCUAUGAUGUGUGAGACAAAGUAACAGAAGGAGAAUGGGAAGAAUCCUGGAGUACCUCCAAAAUGAAAAGUUCUUCAAGAGAUCCCCAAGGAUAAUUUGAUACAGGGAGCAAGCCCAGUGCAUUAAACUAUUUUAAGUUGUAUGAAAUGUCAGGCUUAGGCACUUUGACAGGAUUCCUUUAAAAAUCAGCCACAGUAGACUUAAAUACAUCCGUUACAUUACUCAGACUUUGGCAGACAGGUCCAAUGGCAGUAGCAAUGAGGGAAAAC
Mauremys mutica (yellowpond turtle) is the source of this 1584-nucleotide long non-coding RNA. RefSeq lists it as uncharacterized. Lineage: Eukaryota; Metazoa; Chordata; Testudines; Geoemydidae. The record is from RefSeq and is a predicted model, not a curated record. The transcript is spliced from 4 exons.